UGCGGUUAAAAAGCUCGUAGUUGGAUUUCUGUCGAAGAUGGUCGGUCUGCUCUACGAGCGUGUAUCUGAUGCGCCUUUGGCAUCCUCGUGGAGAACGUGACUGUGCUUGACUGCAUGGCGCGGAAGUCACAACUUUUACUUUGAGGAAAUUAGAGUGUUCACGGCAGGCACGCGCCCUGAAUAUAUUAGCAUGGGAUAAUAAUGCAGGACUGUAGUUCUAUUUUGUUGGCUUCUAGGACUAGAGUAAUGAUUGAUAGGGAUAGCUGGGGGCACUUGUAUUAACGCGUCAGAGGUGAAAUUCUUGGAUUGCGCUACGACAAACUACUGCGAAGGCAUUUGUCAAGGAUGUUUUCAUUGAUCAAGAACGAAAGUAUGGGGAUCGAAGAUGAUUAGAUACCGUCGUAGUCUAUACCAUAAACUAUGCCAACUAGAGAUUGGAGGUCGCUAUU
Molecule: ribosomal RNA, 449 nt
Filed under: uncultured marine eukaryote
Lineage: Eukaryota
Description: SSU rRNA
Rfam family: Eukaryotic small subunit ribosomal RNA
Source: RNAcentral